UUUUUACUGAGGCGAGCAAUAGUGGAAUAUAAAACCUUAAAAAAGUCCAAACUUUAUAUGGACGGUAUGGCUGAUGUGUACAUUUUUAAUUUGAUAUACGAAAUAAAUUUUCUAAAACCAGUGAAACAAAGCAAAAGAAAAAAACUUUCGUAAAGUGAAAUGAAUUAAAUCCUUCCAUCGUUGGGAAACACUUGACGAGACAGUGGUCACUGGUCAGGAGAAAUUUGCGUUUUUCUUCUGGUCGCGUCUUCUAGUCUUAUAGUCUGAACAAAGAGGCUGCAAUCGUAAUCGACGUUUGGCAAAACCUUUCCCCAAAGCCACUCAAUUUUGUUGAAUUGCUAGGACAAAUUAAAGAAUAAUUGGCAUUUGAAGAAACAACUAAUGGAAAGUUGCGGUUUGGAGUUUUUGUCUUGAAAACGAUAAUAUUCGCAACGAAACGAAAUAUUCGCAUCGCUAGCAAAAGCAACCGAGGUUGCAACCUUAAAAUUUGGUCUCUCUACCAGUUGAGAUUAUUGAUCACGUCUGUCUCCUGAUUAACAUAGAUUCAGGAUUCGCCGUAGUCCUAUUUAGAAGAGUAGCGGUUCUACAAGUUGAAGAUCUGCGAAAAUUUCCUCAAAGCUUCUACCGAAGCGGCAUCCAUGAAAUACCCGAGCGGAAACAGAAGAUCACAUAUAACGACGGUGGCUAAAGCCUGAAAUGCCGAAAGUUACGCACACAAUAACAAAUAUUGAAAACUUGGAUCAACUGUUUGAAAACAUUGAAUCCGGUUUAUCAGUAUAGAGUUACGUGGAAACAUUGGUUUUGAGUAAACUAAUGCAUUUGACCCGCAAAGGUGUUGAAAUUGAGGAACCUCUAAGCAAUUAUCUGGAAUGCGUCUUUCUGCUUUUGUUUCUUUACCACACAGGUCCUCUAGAAGUGGCAACAUAAUGUGAAACACAGUUCGCAAAAUUUAUGAAACGAAUUCUACGCGAGGGAAAGGCCUUUAAGUCAGGCAUAUUUC
This is a long non-coding RNA of Glossina fuscipes, 1000 nucleotides long. RefSeq lists it as uncharacterized. Lineage: Eukaryota; Metazoa; Arthropoda; Insecta; Diptera; Glossinidae. The transcript is spliced from 3 exons. The record is from RefSeq and is a predicted model, not a curated record.